Molecule: ribosomal RNA, 253 nt
Filed under: uncultured bacterium
Lineage: Bacteria
Description: partial 16S ribosomal RNA
Rfam family: Bacterial small subunit ribosomal RNA
Source: RNAcentral
UACGGAGGUGGCAAGCGUUGUUCGGAAUUACUGGGCGUAAAGGGCGCGUAGGCGGCAUUGCAAGUCAGAUGUGAAAGCCCCGGGCUUAACCUGGGAAUUGCAUCUGAAACUGUUUUGCUUGAGUCCUGGAGGGGAUAGUGGAAUUCCCAGUGUAGCGGUGAAAUGCGUAGAUAUUGGGAGGAACACCUGCGGCGAAGGCGGCUAUCUGGACAGUGACUGACGCUGAUGCGCGAAAGCUAGGGGAGCGAACGGG